This 126-nucleotide small RNA is filed under the name Marmota monax (woodchuck). Lineage: Eukaryota; Metazoa; Chordata; Mammalia; Rodentia; Sciuridae. The record is from RNAcentral.
GCUGGGCGCAGUGGUGUAUGCCUGUAAUCCAGUGACUCAGGAAGCUGAGUCAGGGGGAUUGCAAGCUCAUAGCCAGUCUCAGCAACUUAGCAAGGCUCUAAGUGAGUUAGUGAGACCCUGUCUCAA